UGGGGAAUCUUCCGCAAUGGACGAAAGUCUGACGGAGCAACGCCGCGUGAGUGAAGAAGGUUUUCGGAUCGUAAAAACUCUGUCUUUUUGGGGGCGAACGUGAGUAUGGUGAACAAUCAUAGUCAGUGACGGUACCAAAGGAGGAAGCCACGGCUAACUACGUGCCAGCAGCCGCGGUAAUACGUAGGUGGCAAGCGUUGUCCGGAAUUAUUGGGCGUAAAGAGCGCGUAGGCGGGAUAGUCAGUCUGUUGUAAAGUGCGGGGCUCAACCCCGUGAUCGCAAUGGAAACAGCUAUUCUUGAGUGCAGGAGAGGAAAGUGGAAUUCCCAGUGUAGCGGUGAAAUGCGUAGAUAUUGGGAGGAACACCAGUGGCGAAGGCGACUUUCUGGACUGUGUCUGACGCUGAGGCGCGAAAGCCAGGGGAGCGAACGGGAUUAGAUACCCCCGGUAGUCCUGGCCGUAAACGAUGGGUACUAGGUGUGGGGAGGUAUCGACCCCCUUCCGUGCCGGAGUUAACGCAAUAAGUACCCCGCCUGGGGAGUACGGUCGCAAGACUGAAACUCAAAUGAAUUGAC
RNAcentral lists this ribosomal RNA (574 nucleotides) under uncultured bacterium. Its description in RNAcentral is "partial 16S ribosomal RNA". It matches the Rfam family "Bacterial small subunit ribosomal RNA", at positions 355 to 914 of the family's 1533-position model. The record is from RNAcentral.